Molecule: ribosomal RNA, 414 nt
Filed under: uncultured Legionella sp.
Lineage: Bacteria; Pseudomonadati; Pseudomonadota; Gammaproteobacteria; Legionellales; Legionellaceae
Description: bacterial SSU rRNA
Rfam family: Bacterial small subunit ribosomal RNA
Source: RNAcentral
UUCCAGGGAGUACCACAGAAGAGCACCGGCUAACUCCGUGCCAGCAGCCGCGGUAAUACGGAGGGUGCGAGCGUUAAUCGGAAUUACUGGGCGUAAAGGGUGCGUAGGUGGUUGAUUAAGUUAUCUGUGAAAUUCCUGGGCUUAACCUGGGACGGUCAGAUAAUACUGGUUGACUCGAGUAUGGGAGAGGGUAGUGGAAUUUCCGGUGUAGCGGUGAAAUGCGUAGAGAUCGGAAGGAACACCAGUGGCGAAGGCGGCUACCUGGCCUAAUACUGACACUGAGGCACGAAAGCGUGGGGAGCAAACAGGAUUAGAUACCCUGGUAGUCCACGCUGUAAACGAUGUCAACUAGCUGUUGGUUAUAUGAAAAUAAUUAGUGGCGCAGCAAACGCGAUAAGUUGACAUCGUUUACGG